Molecule: ribosomal RNA, 261 nt
Filed under: uncultured bacterium
Lineage: Bacteria
Description: partial 16S ribosomal RNA
Rfam family: Bacterial small subunit ribosomal RNA
Source: RNAcentral
CCCCUCCUACGGGAGGCAGCAGUAGGGAAUCUUCCACAAUGGACGAAAGUCUGAUGGAGCAACGCCGCGUGAGUGAAGAAGGGUUUCGGCUCGUAAAGCUCUGUUGGUAGUGAAGAAAGAUAGAGGUAGUAACUGGCCUUUAUUUGACGGUAAUUACUUAGAAAGUCAGGGCUAACUACGUGCCAGCAGCCGCGGUGAUACGUAGGUGGCAAGCGGUGUCCGGGUUUAUUGGGCGUAAAGCGAGUGCAGGCGGAUCAAUAA